This 857-nucleotide ribosomal RNA is filed under the name uncultured Neocallimastigales. Its description in RNAcentral is "partial large subunit ribosomal RNA". It matches the Rfam family "Eukaryotic large subunit ribosomal RNA", at positions 1 to 616 of the family's 3401-position model. The record is from RNAcentral. Lineage: Eukaryota; Fungi; Neocallimastigomycota; Neocallimastigomycetes; Neocallimastigales.
AGAGAGAGACAUGCGCGCAUAUCAAUAAGCGGAGGAAAAGUACUACCUACGCUUAGGAUGUUGAAAUAUGCGCGACACGACUCUAUACAUGACUCUGCGCAUAUCAAUAAGCGGAGGAAAAGAAACUAACUAGGAUUCCCUCAGUAACGGCGAGUGAAGCGGGAAGAGCUCAAAUUUGAAAUCUUAAAGGGUUUCCCUUGACGAAUUGUAGUUUAAAGAAGUGUUUUCUGUUGGAGGUUUUGGUAAAAGUUCUUUGGAAUAGGACAUCAUAGAGGGUGAGAAUCCCGUAUUUGACCAUUACUUUCAGCUUUGUGAUACACUUUCAAAGAGUCGGAUUGUUUGGGAAUGCAGUCCAAAAUGGGUGGUAAAUUUCAUCUAAAGCUAAAUAUUGGCGAGAGACCGAUAGCGAACAAGUACCGUGAGGGAAAGAUGAAAAGAACUUUGAAAAGAGAGUUAAACAGUACGUGAAAUUGUCAAAAGGGAAGCGUUUGACACCAGUGUUGUUUUUCUGAAAAUCAAUUAAAGAACUGUUUAUGCUAAGUUGUUUAGACUUUAUCAGCUAACUGUUUAGUUUUGAGCUUUUCUUUAAUGCACUUUUCAGUUAACAAGUCAACAUCAAUUUCUUUUGCUGUAAAAAAGCUUGAGGAAGGUGGCUUGAGAUUCGUCUUAAGUGUUUAUAGCCUCUUGCCUAUGCAGUCGGAGAGAUUGAGGUCUGCAGCGUAGAUCCUUCGGGGCUAAAUGCAUUUGUGCUAAGUUAUAGCAUUUUAUAGACAACUUGUUGACUAUGAUUUGUCUUGUAGCUUACUCGCUUAUGUUAUUUUACCUACGCUUAGGAUGUUGAGCGCAUGUCUCUCUCU